Molecule: long non-coding RNA, 5584 nt
Filed under: Homo sapiens (human)
Lineage: Eukaryota; Metazoa; Chordata; Mammalia; Primates; Hominidae
Description: HSALNT0344854
Source: RNAcentral
CAGCGAUCCCACGUUAACAUUGGGAUGGAUUGUGAAUUCAGAGCUGAAUAAGGAUUCCAAAGAGGGGACACCGGCAUGGGGGCCGUUAAGUGCUGGGAGAGUUCGGAUACGAUGUUCCCUCGCAAAGCCCGUGUGACGGAGGAACUCUGAAAGGAAGGACUCAAGGUUCCAAGGGGCACGAUGGUGAAGCCGAUGUCAACAACGCAGCCAAACGUGGCUACACAGGACUCUAAGUAGAAAGGGAGGUUGCCCCCAAGAGUCUCUCAAGGGACCUAUCGGGCCGGGGAGAAGGUCCCAAGCCACGCCCACCUUGGAUGGGAAAAGCAACCUGGCUGGUGGUGACAGAACUCUUUGGAAUCCAACCCAGUCUCUGAGGACCGUGGGACACCCCCUCCCCCCGUCCCCACCCCCACCCCGAUACCCAAGAGAUCCAGGGCUAGACUUACCCUGGGAUCUUCUUCAUCGGGCGGGGGAGCCCUUGGCCCAACUGGGGCCCUCCGCUGCUUCUGGAGGGUCUGGGCUCUCACCAGUCUCUUGGCCCAAGAUGUGGGGUCCCGACGUGCCAUCAUCUUCGUCUCCUGGGGGUUUUAUGACCGCCUUUUUCAGGGGUGGACUGUUGGGCCACCUGAAACACACACAAACACACACAUGUCGAUGGUUAAGCACGUUGGAUAUUCACACACCCACAGGAAGCCACCUGCUAACUCCCUGCCUGUGUGGUCAUGAGGAGACCUCACCACCAGUCGGUCAAAUCUGUAGAACACAAUGUGCUGUGCGCAUCCUCGGAUAUUGUGUGUUCCUCUGCCAUGACUACCUAGUCCAAGAGUAAACCCCACCUGCCACAGGGCCCGUGGCCUAGGUAUGGGGGGUUGAGCUUUCAACCCCAAACAAACAACUGAUUCUGGAGACUGGACUUAGGUCUCUCACGAUUCACUCCGGUAGAAGACACGGUGAUUCUAUCUCCCUUGACGGACAGAAUGAUCGAAGACACAGGGCAUGGCGUGUGCCACCCUUUGGCAGGUCUGCUUGAAGUCAGGGAUAAGGGAUGCUUCCUGUGACAACUUGAAUCGCUACUCUUGCCAUUUCAUUAGGCAACUUCCAAACACAAAUUCAUACAGAGAAGUUACCUUCCUCUCUACCGCACUAGCAGGCUGGCGCUGAGAUGGGCAGGUGCUGCAGCAGCCCGGCUGGAAGCGAUGCAGCAUCCAGGACGACGGAGGAAGGGGCGGAGAGGGACCUCUGCUUUCCAGGCUGCCUUUUAUACUGCCUCUGGUCACCUGACAUGGAACGUACCCUAACCUAAUCAGUUACCUGUACCUUAAUUGCAAUUAACUUAAUCCAAUUACAUGACCUGGAAAGGUCUAUCUGCACAGCCCACUCUAAGAUCCUGUCCACUGCUGACAGACAUUCUAAAACCUACUUGUACAGCUGCAAGCUUUGAACAAUAGAUGUUCCCCGUCAGACAUGUAACACUGGUGCCUGUAUCCCUGUCUUCUUUUCCAUCUUUUUUGUUGUUUUGUUUUGUUUCGUUUUAAAAAAUGUGGUAAAAUAGACACCUUUUAAUUGGACCACAUUUUGUCUCUCUCGACGUAGGCCUCAGUGUCAUCAAGGAGACUCUCCUUGACAUGCAGUCACGGCCAUGAUCCAUCUUCAGAGCUUCUCUUUCUUCCCCAAGGCUGGCGCUGAGAUGGGCAGGUGCUGCAGCAGCCCCGCUGGAAGCGAUGCAGCAUCCAGAACGACGGAGGAAGGGGCGGAGAGGGACCUCUGCUUUCCAGGCUGCCUUUUAUACUGCCUCUGGUCACCUGACAUGGAACGUACCCUAACCUAAUCAGUUACCUGUACCUUAAUUGCAAUUAACUUAAUCCAGUUACAUGACCUGGAAAGGUCUAUCUGCACAGCCCACUCUAAGAUCCUGUCCACUGCUGACAGACAUUCUAAAACCUACUUGUACAGCUGCAAGCUUUGAACAAUAGAUGUUCCCCGUCAGACAUGUAACACUGGUGCCUGUAUCCCUGUCUUCUUUUCCAUCUUUUUUGUUGUUUUGUUUUGUUUCGUUUUAAAAAAUGUGGUAAAAUAGACACCUUUUAAUUGGACCACAUUUUGUCUCUCUCGACGUAGGCCUCAGUGUCAUCAAGGAGACUCUCCUUGACAUGCAGUCACGGCCAUGAUCCAUCUUCAGAGCUUCUCUUUCUUCCCCAAGGCUGGCGCUGAGAUGGGCAGGUGCUGCAGCAGCCCCGCUGGAAGCGAUGCAGCAUCCAGAACGACGGAGGAAGGGGCGGAGAGGGACCUCCGCUUUCCAGGCUGCCUUUUAUACUGCCUCUGGUCACCUGACAUGGAACGUACCCUAACCUAAUCAGUUACCUGUACCUUAAUUGCAAUUAACUUAAUCCAAUUACAUGACCUGGAAAGGUCUAUCUGCACAGCCCACUCUAAGAUCCUGUCCACUGCUGACAGACAUUCUAAAACCUACUUGUACAGCUGCAAGCUUUGAACAAUAGAUGUUCCCCGUCAGACAUGUAACACUGGUGCCUGUACCCCUGUCUUCCUUUCCAUCUUUUUUGUUGUUUUGUUUUGUUUCGUUUUAAAAAAUGUGGUAAAAUAGACACCUUUUAAUUGGACCACAUUUUGUCUCUCUCGACGUAGGCCUCAGUGUCAUCAAGGAGACUCUCCUUGACAUGCAGUCACGGCCAUGAUCCAUCUUCAGAGCUUCUCUUUCUUCCCCAAGGCUGGCGCUGAGAUGGGCAGGUGCUGCAGCAGCCCCGCUGGAAGCGAUGCAGCAUCCAGAACGACGGAGGAAGGGGCGGAGAGGGACCUCUGCUUUCCAGGCUGCCUUUUAUACUGCCUCUGGUCACCUGACAUGGAACGUACCCUAACCUAAUCAGUUACCUGUACCUUAAUUGCAAUUAACUUAAUCCAGUUACAUGACCUGGAAAGGUCUAUCUGCACAGCCCACUCUAAGAUCCUGUCCACUGCUGACAGACAUUCUAAAACCUACUUGUACAGCUGCAAGCUUUGAACAAUAGAUGUUCCCCGUCAGACAUGUAACACUGGUGCCUGUAUCCCUGUCUUCUUUUCCAUCUUUUUUGUUGUUUUGUUUUGUUUCGUUUUAAAAAAUGUGGUAAAAUAGACACCUUUUAAUUGGACCACAUUUUGUCUCUCUCGACGUAGGCCUCAGUGUCAUCAAGGAGACUCUCCUUGACAUGCAGUCACGGCCAUGAUCCAUCUUCAGAGCUUCUCUUUCUUCCCCAAGGUAAGUCUGUCAGCAGAGAACCCUGACCGCACCCUCAUGUGUUUUCUCCCCCAGGAGGCGCUUGGAAACCACCGUGAAUUGGACCGCACUGGGAAACACAGAUGAGGAAAGUCAACAACGCUUUGUCCUUCAGUGCCUGGCUCCUUUUUCAGCUCGUCUUGCGACUCCCGGACGCCUGUGAGGCUCUAAUUCCCUGGGUCCCAUUGCCAUGUCUCUGGAUUUGCGAAGAUCCACCGCACCUUCUGUGGAACUCCCGUGUCGGUGAACUUUUGUGCCACGGCCCCUAAUUCUGCCCAUGGUCAUCCGCACCUGCACGACUUAGGGUCCAUGUUCCUUGGACGGGAAGAGACAGGCAGGAGUCGGAAUGAUGAACCAGCACACUGGGGCGUUUUCUCAUGUAGCCCAAGUGACCCCAUGGUCUUCUCGAGCUUUGGAACCAGUCGCGUCCCCUUUGACACUGCACCCGGCUCCCAGUCUCUCAAUCUUGUUGGCCCUCCGGCGAUCUCCCGUUGGAUGAAUUGCUCCUGCUGAAACUCCAGUCCCCUUUGAUUUACGCUUCAUUAAUUAUUCAUGAUUCAGGUUGGAAGGCCUGCUGACGACCCCCUGUGGCCGUUCUCUGAGCUUUCCUGUCACAUCGUUUCCUUCCACGCUCUUUGGUUCCUUAUGGUCCUGCUCCCUCUGCUGUCAGAGGAGCAGAGAGUUGAUCUUAUUCAUUCUGGAUACGGAUACUUUCUAGGUGAUCUGGAUAAUCAAGAUAACGACCCUCAACAGCGGCGGAGAGGGAGCAGCCAGUUGGUGUGUCUCAGAAAAUCCCACUGAGUUCCGAGGCCUCCUAGAUGUGGAAUCCUGCUGAGAGUUGUUCCCAGGUCAGAGAAUGGAGAGAGCCUGUGCAUGAUGGGAUAUCCCCGCCUAGAUCUUUCAGUGAGUCUCUACCUCAGCUACUCUUAGGAUCAGGGGGAGAACCAUGGUGUCAGACAUCCGGAAAGAAGACGGGAUGAAUGUUUUACCUCUGAAGUACAUCCCAAAUGUGGGAGUUAACUUCAGCUUUGCUGGGGUCUAUUUGGCCAGUGAAACUCUGCCUGGUUCCUUCGCACAUCCGGAAGCCACUUCACGGGGGGCCGUCGCAACUGGAACCACACACUUGGCAUCGGCGGUUGAGCCAAAUGGGGACUCGUGGUGCAAGCAACGCUCCCCACGUGUUAGCGUGCGUGAGAUGCGGUUGGCGGAAUUUUACUAGGUGCGUGUUGGUAGAGUGGGGCUGAGGUUUUCUUGCUCCUGUGGAUGUAUAGCAAGUCAAAGGUCCUGCCCAGCCCUGCGGUCCCCUCAGUCAACUCUGUUUCGGAGACGUAACGAUUUGGAUUGCCAACAAGUCAAGAAAUGUUCAAGCCCUUGGAUGUAGGGUAAAGAAAGAGAGAUCAGACUGUCACUGUGUCUAUGUAGAAGGGGAAGACAUAAGAGACUCCAUUUUGAAAAAGACCUGUAGUUUAAACAAUUGCUUUGCUGAGAUGUUGAUCAUUUGUAGCUUUGCCGCAGCCCCUUCCUUUGACCCAACUUGGAGCUCACAAAAACCUGUGUUGUAUAAAAUCGAGGUUUAAGGGAUCUAGGGCUGUGCAGGACGCGCCUUGUUAACCAAAUGUUUACGAGCAGUAUACUUGGUAGGAGUCAUUGCCAUUCCCUAGUCUCAAUAAACCAGGGGCGCAAUGCACCGUGGAAAGCCACAGGGACCUCUGCCCUUGAAAGCAGGUUAUUGUCCAAGGUUUCUCCCCAUGUGACAGUCUGAAAUAUGGCCUCGUGGGAUGGGAAAGACCUGACUGUCCCCCAGCCUGACACCCGCAAUGGGUCUGUGCUGAGGUGGAUUAGUCAAAGAGGAAAGCCUCUUGCAGUUCAGAUGGAGGAAGGCCACUGUCUCCUGCUUGCCCCUGGGAACUGAAUGUCUCGGUGUAAAGCCCGAUCGUACAUUUGUUCAACUCUGAGCUCGGAGAAAAGCUGCCCUGUGGCGGGAGGCGAGACAUGUUGGCAGUAAUGCUGCCUUGUUAUUCUUUACUCCGCUGAGAUAUUUGUGUGGAGAGAAACAUAAAUCUGGCCUACGUGCACGUCCAGGCAUAGUACCUUCCCUUGAACUUAAUAAUGAUAUGGAUUCUUUUGCUCACGUGUUUGUUUUUGUUGUUGCUGUUGAACUUCCCCUUAUUAUCACCCUGCUCCCCUACUGCAUUCCUUUGUGCUGUAAUAAUGAUAAUCAUAAUCAAUAAAAACUGAGGGAACUCAGAGGCCGGUGCCGGUGCAGGUCCUAGGUGUGCUGAGUGCCGGUCCCCUGGACCCACUGUUGUCUCCCUA